GAAAAUUGGUUGAUGCGUAAGGCUGAUUCGGAAGAUAUAAUGAUCGAAGACUUCAAGGCUAUAAAGGCGAGCUAAUUUAACAAAAUUUCCUGCGAAGAGUAAUCUUGAAAAUAUUUGGAUGGUGAACACCAUGAGGAUGCGCUCAACCGAACAGAAUCAUAACGUUCCAUCCAAGUUGAAGGUUUAUCAUGGAAAACUCUUUGGUUUCUUACAAACUAGACUUCAACUAAGAGAGCUUUUACUGCGUUUACCCACAAAUUCAGUUGUUUUCUUCUUCACGGCUGAACCAGCAAGAAUUUGUGAUGUAAGAAGGCCAAGGGUUAAUUGGGUAAUUAGGUAAUAUUCUAGGUUAAUUCCCUUUUUACCCCAAUUGUAAUAGAAAUCUAUAAAUAGGAGUCUUCUCCUCUUAUACGAGGGAUAUUAUUCAUUCCAAUAAAAAAUCCAUAAUCUUGGUUCUUGGAGGAUUUCUCCUUGAGGUUACUUAGAUUACAUCAAAUUGAUACCAGCUUCACCGAUGAAGGGAGCUGUGACUGGCAAGAACACCUCCGGCAAGGGAGAGGAUGUAGUGCCGAAUGAAGAAGAGAUCCCAUCUCCACGCACUUCGACCGCCCGAUUGAUGGCCAUUGAAGAAAGCAUGAUAGAAGUGUUCGACCGAAUGGGAAAUCUUGAAGCCACCAUGGAACGACUUGCUCGCCAGCUUGAAGUGGCGUUGACUGCCCUUCCCCAGCAGCAAGAAAUCAGCAAUAGAAACCACCAAGAAGUUCGGCGCAUUGCCAGCCGAAUUUCUGGCCAAGUAUGCCCCAAAGAACGUCAAAAUUUAGUCCAAGAUUGGGGGCAACGAGGCAUUCGAGGGGCUGGAGUACAUAGAGCUGGACGAAACCAUCAAGAAAGAAAGUUUGAAGUGCAAGAAAAGAGAAAACUAGUCCAAAAUUACCAAGAACCCCAUGUAAGAAUUCAAAAAUUCCGCCAAAUUCUUCAAGAAAAAAGGUUUGAAGCUCAAGAACAUAGGAGACCUAAUCAAAAGUACCAAAAAGUUUCCCCAAGAUUUCAAGAUUGCUUUCAAGAUUUUGCAAGAACGACUCAACAUGUAGAUCAACCAUCAAUUUAUUUGCAAGAGUCCAAGAACAAAUUUGUUUCAUACAUGAAAGAAAAAACAAAAGAAUCACAGUUGGAAAAUUUUCAAAUAGAAAAUCUUGAAGAUAAAAUUGAAGAACAAGAUCUUGAAAACGCUGAUUUGGAAAUGGUCACAAGUGAAGAAAAAUCCAAUGAAGAAGAUAAAAAAGAAGUAUCGAACACCGAGCAAAAAUCGAACAAGAACAAAAAUCGAGUAAGAAGGCUAAGGGUUAAUUGGGUAAUUAGGUAACAUUCUAGGUUAAUUCCCUUUUUACCCCAAUUGUAAUA
This 1401-nucleotide long non-coding RNA is filed under the name Cucumis sativus (cucumber). RNAcentral describes it as "long non-coding RNA (CSAT_LNC001440)". Lineage: Eukaryota; Viridiplantae; Streptophyta; Magnoliopsida; Cucurbitales; Cucurbitaceae. The record is from RNAcentral.